RNAcentral lists this ribosomal RNA (253 nucleotides) under uncultured bacterium. RNAcentral's name for it is "partial 16S ribosomal RNA". It matches the Rfam family "Bacterial small subunit ribosomal RNA", at positions 524 to 776 of the family's 1533-position model. The record is from RNAcentral.
UACGUAGGGUGCAAGCGUUGUCCGGAAUUAUUGGGCGUAAAGAGCUCGUAGGCGGUUCGUCACGUCGGCUGUGAAAACCUGAGGCUCAACCUCAGGCCUGCAGUCGAUACGGGCGGACUUGAGUACUGCAGGGGAGACUGGAAUUCCUGGUGUAGCGGUGAAAUGCGCAGAUAUCAGGAGGAACACCGGUGGCGAAGGCGGGUCUCUGGGCAGUAACUGACGCUGAGGAGCGAAAGCGUGGGGAGCAAACAGG